GGGCGAGCCGCGCAGCCAGGAAGGGGGCGGGGCCCGGGGCCUGGAGGCGGGGCCUGGGGCUGUCAGUCCCGCGCCCGCCGCCGCGCCGCGGCUCCUCGCAUGCCGUGGCCCGGGUGGCUGCCAACGCUGCCGCCCGCCGCCCGCCACCCUGGCACCCCAAGCCGCCUCCCGCCGCCCCGGCCCGGCGCGCAGGGCUGCUGACCACCAGCAGCACGGACCUCUGGAGGCCGAAACAGGCCUGACAGUCACAGAUGUGUUUGCCAUCUCAUCUUUAUGUGAGUGGAGUAAGGGAAGAUGAAAGCCACAGAAUGAGACCUUUCUGGACACAACUGUACAGGAGCCCAGCCUGGAAUGCACUCAGAGUUGAUGCUGAAUAAUCUAAGAGAUGCAAAUAAAAACCAGCAAGGAACCCUUCUUUAACUUAUUAAAUUUGAGGGAAAAUUCUUGUCA
RNA transcript from Macaca mulatta (Rhesus monkey), 450 nucleotides. It is a transcript of the gene named HIVEP zinc finger 3, with no coding region annotated. The record is from RefSeq and is a predicted model, not a curated record. Lineage: Eukaryota; Metazoa; Chordata; Mammalia; Primates; Cercopithecidae.